UACGGGGGGGGCAAGCGUUGUUCGGAAUUACUGGGCGUAAAGGGCUCGUAGGCGGCCAACUAAGUCGGAUGUGAAAUCCCCAGGCUUAACCUGGGAACUGCAUCCGAUACUGGUUGGCUUGAAUCCGGGAGAGGGAUGCGGAAUUCCAGGUGUAGCGGUGAAAUGCGCAGAUAUCGGGAAGAACACCCGUGGCGAAGGCGGCUCUCUGGGACGGUACUGACGCUGAGACGCGAAAGCGUGGGGAGCGAACAGG
RNAcentral lists this ribosomal RNA (253 nucleotides) under uncultured bacterium. RNAcentral describes it as "partial 16S ribosomal RNA". It matches the Rfam family "Bacterial small subunit ribosomal RNA", at positions 524 to 776 of the family's 1533-position model. The record is from RNAcentral.